GUGCUUGAUUUGGCAGCACAUAUAUUAAAAUUGGAAUGAGGCAGAGAUGAGUGUGGCUCCUGCACAAGGAUGAUACAAAUUUGUGAAGAGUUCAAUAUUGUU
Small nuclear RNA from Dromiciops gliroides (monito del monte), 102 nucleotides. The record is from RefSeq and is a predicted model, not a curated record. Lineage: Eukaryota; Metazoa; Chordata; Mammalia; Microbiotheria; Microbiotheriidae.